This 805-nucleotide ribosomal RNA is filed under the name uncultured bacterium. Its description in RNAcentral is "bacterial SSU rRNA". It matches the Rfam family "Bacterial small subunit ribosomal RNA", at positions 8 to 796 of the family's 1533-position model. The record is from RNAcentral.
AGAGUUUGAUCCUGGCUCAGGAUGAACGCUGGCGGCGUGCCUAAUACAUGCAAGUCGAGCGAACGGACGAGAAGCUUGCUUCUCUGAUGUUAGCGGCGGACGGGUGAGUAACACGUGGAUAACCUACCUAUAAGACUGGGAUAACUUCGGGAAACCGGAGCUAAUACCGGAUAAUAUUUUGAACCGCAUGGUUCAAAAGUGAAAGACGGUCUUGCUGUCACUUAUAGAUGGAUCCGCGCUGCAUUAGCUAGUUGGUAAGGUAACGGCUACCAAGGCAACGAUGCAUAGCCGACCUGAGAGGGUGAUCGGCCACACUGGAACUGAGACACGGUCCAGACUCCUACGGGAGGCAGCAGUAGGGAAUCUUCCGCAAUGGGCGAAAGCCUGACGGAGCAACGCCGCGUGAGUGAUGAAGGUCUUCGGAUCGUAAAACUCUGUUAUUAGGGAAGAACAUAUGUGUAAGUAACUGUGCACAUCUUGACGGUACCUAAUCAGAAAGCCACGGCUAACUACGUGCCAGCAGCCGCGGUAAUACGUAGGUGGCAAGCGUUAUCCGGAAUUAUUGGGCGUAAAGCGCGCGUAGGCGGUUUUUUAAGUCUGAUGUGAAAGCCCACGGCUCAACCGUGGAGGGUCAUUGGAAACUGGAAAACUUGAGUGCAGAAGAGGAAAGUGGAAUUCCAUGUGUAGCGGUGAAAUGCGCAGAGAUAUGGAGGAACACCAGUGGCGAAGGCGACUUUCUGGUCUGUAACUGACGCUGAUGUGCGAAAGCGUGGGGAUCAAACAGGAUUAGAUACCCUGGUAGUCC